RNAcentral lists this microRNA precursor (132 nucleotides) under Medicago truncatula (barrel medic). RNAcentral's name for it is "MIR2599 microRNA precursor family". It matches the Rfam family "MIR2599 microRNA precursor family". Lineage: Eukaryota; Viridiplantae; Streptophyta; Magnoliopsida; Fabales; Fabaceae. The record is from Rfam by way of RNAcentral.
GUGGGUACAAUGAAUCUACUUUAUUCAGCACACCAACCUAAUUUCCGAGACAUGUUACAUACCUGAAACAUGUCUUAGAAAUUAGGGUUUUUCUUAGUUUGUGUGCUGAACAAAGUAGAUUCCUUGUACCCA